UACGGGGGGGGCAAGCGUUGUUCGGAAUUACUGGGCGUAAAGGGCUCGUAGGCGGCCAACUAAGUCAGACGUGAAAUCCCUCGGCUUAACCGGGGAACUGCAUCCGAUACUGGAUGGCUUGAGUUCGGGAGAGGGAUGCGGAAUUCCAGGUGUAGCGGUGAAAUGCGUAGAUAUCUGGAGGAACACCGGUGGCGAAGGCGGCAUCCUGGACCGACACUGACGCUGAGGAGCGAAAGCCAGGGGAGCAAACAGG
RNAcentral lists this ribosomal RNA (253 nucleotides) under uncultured bacterium. Its description in RNAcentral is "partial 16S ribosomal RNA". It matches the Rfam family "Bacterial small subunit ribosomal RNA", at positions 524 to 776 of the family's 1533-position model. The record is from RNAcentral.